UACGUAGGGUGCGAGCGUUGUCCGGAGUUAUUGGGCGUAAAGAGCUCGUAGGCGGUGUGUCACGUCGGCCGUGAAAACCUGCAGCUUAACUGUGGGCGUGCGGUCGAUACGGGCAUCACUGGAGUUCGGCAGGGGAGACUGGAAUUCCUGGUGUAGCGGUGAAAUGCGCAGAUAUCAGGAGGAACACCGGUGGCGAAGGCGGGUCUCUGGGCCGAUACUGACGCUGGAGGAAGCGAAGGCAGUGGGGGAGUCAAACAACGGG
Molecule: ribosomal RNA, 262 nt
Filed under: uncultured bacterium
Lineage: Bacteria
Description: partial 16S ribosomal RNA
Rfam family: Bacterial small subunit ribosomal RNA
Source: RNAcentral